RNAcentral lists this ribosomal RNA (482 nucleotides) under uncultured bacterium. RNAcentral's name for it is "partial 16S ribosomal RNA". It matches the Rfam family "Bacterial small subunit ribosomal RNA", at positions 30 to 506 of the family's 1533-position model. The record is from RNAcentral.
UUGAACGCUGGCGGCAGGCCUAACACCUGCCAGUCGAGCGGAUGAAGGGAGCUUGCUCCUGGAUUCAGCGGCGGACGGGUGAGUAAUGCCUAGGAAUCUGCCUGGUAGUGGGGGAUAACGUCCGGAAACGGGCGCUAAUACCGCAUACGUCCUGAGGGAGAAAGUGGGGGAUCUUCGGACCUCACGCUAUCAGAUGAGCCUAGGUCGGAUUAGCUAGUUGGUGGGGUAAAGGCCUACCAAGGCGACGAUCCGUAACUGGUCUGAGAGGAUGAUCAGUCACACUGGAACUGAGACACGGUCCAGACUCCUACGGGAGGCAGCAGUGGGGAAUAUUGGACAAUGGGCGAAAGCCUGAUCCAGCCAUGCCGCGGGUGUGAAGAAGGUCUUCGGAUUGUAAAGCACUUUAAGUUGGGAGGAAGGGCAGUAAGUUAAUACCUUGCUGUUUUGACGUUACCAACAGAAUAAGCACCGGCUAACUUCGU